This 300-nucleotide ribosomal RNA is filed under the name uncultured Prosthecochloris sp. Its description in RNAcentral is "partial 16S ribosomal RNA". The stretch from base 52 to 300 matches the Rfam family "Bacterial small subunit ribosomal RNA", at positions 547 to 795 of the family's 1533-position model. The record is from RNAcentral. Lineage: Bacteria; Pseudomonadati; Chlorobiota; Chlorobiia; Chlorobiales; Chlorobiaceae.
GGCACGCCGGGGGAAGCGGCCGGGGGAAGAGGGGGGGUCCGGGGGUUAAGCGGGAGUACUGGGCGUAAAGCGUGCGCAGGCGGUUUGUUAAGCGAGAUGUGAAAGCCCUGGGCUCAACCUAGGAAUAGCAUUUCGAACUGGCGAACUAGAGUCGUGUAGAGGGGGGUAGAAUUCCAGGUGUAGCGGUGAAAUGCGUAGAGAUCUGGAGGAAUACCGGUGGCGAAGGCGGCCCCCUGGACAAAGACUGACGCUCAUGCACGAAAGCGUGGGGAGCAAACAGGAUUAGAUACCAUUGUAGUC